This 904-nucleotide ribosomal RNA is filed under the name Epilithonimonas hominis. Its description in RNAcentral is "bacterial SSU rRNA". It matches the Rfam family "Bacterial small subunit ribosomal RNA", at positions 90 to 996 of the family's 1533-position model. The record is from RNAcentral. Lineage: Bacteria; Pseudomonadati; Bacteroidota; Flavobacteriia; Flavobacteriales; Weeksellaceae.
AGAGAGCGGCGCACGGGUGCGGAACACGUGUGCAACCUGCCUUUAUCUGGGGGAUAGCCUUUCGAAAGGAAGAUUAAUACCCCAUAAUAUAUUAGAUGGCAUCAUUUGAUAUUGAAAACUCCGGUGGAUAGAGAUGGGCACGCGCAAGAUUAGAUAGUUGGUGAGGUAACGGCUCACCAAGUCAGUGAUCUUUAGGGGGCCUGAGAGGGUGAUCCCCCACACUGGUACUGAGACACGGACCAGACUCCUACGGGAGGCAGCAGUGAGGAAUAUUGGACAAUGGGUGAGAGCCUGAUCCAGCCAUCCCGCGUGAAGGACGACGGCCCUAUGGGUUGUAAACUUCUUUUGUAUAGGGAUAAACCUACUCUCGUGAGAGUAGCUGAAGGUACUAUACGAAUAAGCACCGGCUAACUCCGUGCCAGCAGCCGCGGUAAUACGGAGGGUGCAAGCGUUAUCCGGAUUUAUUGGGUUUAAAGGGUCCGUAGGCGGAUCUGUAAGUCAGUGGUGAAAUCUCAUAGCUUAACUAUGAAACUGCCAUUGAUACUGCAGGUCUUGAGUAAAUUUGAAGUGGCUGGAAUAAGUAGUGUAGCGGUGAAAUGCAUAGAUAUUACUUAGAACACCAAUUGCGAAGGCAGGUCACUAAGAUUUAACUGACGCUGAUGGACGAAAGCGUGGGGAGCGAACAGGAUUAGAUACCCUGGUAGUCCACGCCGUAAACGAUGCUAACUCGUUUUUGGGUUUUCGGAUUCAGAGACUAAGCGAAAGUGAUAAGUUAGCCACCUGGGGAGUACGUUCGCAAGAAUGAAACUCAAAGGAAUUGACGGGGGCCCGCACAAGCGGUGGAUUAUGUGGUUUAAUUCGAUGAUACGCGAGGAACCUUACCAAGACUUAAAUGGGAAAUGAC